Molecule: ribosomal RNA, 495 nt
Filed under: uncultured bacterium
Lineage: Bacteria
Description: partial 16S ribosomal RNA
Rfam family: Bacterial small subunit ribosomal RNA
Source: RNAcentral
UGAACGCUGGCGGCGUGCCUAAUACAUGCAAGUCGAGCGAACGGACGCGAAGCUUGCUUCUCUGAUGUUAGCGGCGGACGGGUGAGUAACACGUGGAUAACCUACCUAUAAGACUGGGAUGACUUCGGGAAACCGGAGCUAAUACCGGAUGAUAUUUUGAACCGCAUGGUUCAAAAGUGAAAGACGGUCUUGCUGUCACUUAUAGAUGGAUCCGCGCUGCAUUAGCUAGUUGGUAAGGUAACGGCUUACCAAGGCAACGAUGCAUAGCCGACCUGAGAGGGUGAUCGGCCACACUGGAACUGAGACACGGUCCAGACUCCUACGGGAGGCAGCAGUAGGGAAUCUUCCGCAAUGGGCGAAAGCCUGACGGAGCAACGCCGCGUGAGUGAUGAAGGUCUUCGGAUCGUAAAACUCUGUUAUUAGGGAAGAACAUAUGUGUAAGUAACUGUGCACAUCUUGACGGUACCUAAUCAGAAAGCCACGGCUAACUACGUG